GAAAUGCGAUAAGUAAUGUGAAUUGCAGAAUUCAGUGAAUCAUCGAAUCUUUGAACGCACAUUGCGCCCGCCAGUAUUCUGGCGGGCAUGCCUGUUCGAGCGUCAUUUCAACCAUCAAGCCCGGCGCUUGUGUUGGGGACCCGCGGCUGCCGCGGGCCCUGAAAGACAGUGGCGGUCUCGCUGUAGCACCGAGCGUAGUAACAUACACCUCGCUCCGGGCGCUAGGCGUGCUCCUGCCGUUAAAAAACCCCCCUUUUGCAAGGUUGACCUCGGAUCAGGUAGGAAUACCCGCUGAACUUAA
This 301-nucleotide unclassified non-coding RNA is filed under the name uncultured Lasiosphaeriaceae. Its description in RNAcentral is "sequence contains ITS1". The stretch from base 1 to 105 matches the Rfam family "5.8S ribosomal RNA", at positions 50 to 154 of the family's 154-position model. Lineage: Eukaryota; Fungi; Ascomycota; Sordariomycetes; Sordariales; Lasiosphaeriaceae. The record is from RNAcentral.